GGCCAUGUAGUUCAAUGGAUAGAAUAUCGGACUUCGGAUCCGAAGGUUGCAGGUUCGAGUCCUGUCAUGGUCG
Culicoides brevitarsis is the source of this 73-nucleotide non-coding RNA. The record is from the annotation of a RefSeq genome assembly. NCBI's taxonomy places the organism in Eukaryota, Metazoa, Arthropoda, Insecta, Diptera, Ceratopogonidae.